RNAcentral lists this ribosomal RNA (490 nucleotides) under uncultured bacterium. RNAcentral's name for it is "partial 16S ribosomal RNA". It matches the Rfam family "Bacterial small subunit ribosomal RNA", at positions 30 to 507 of the family's 1533-position model. The record is from RNAcentral.
AUUGAACGCUGGCGGCAGGCCUAACACAUGCAAGUCGAACGGUAACAGGAAGAAGCUUGCUUCUUUGCUGACGAGUGGCGGACGGGUGAGUAAUGUCUGGGAAACUGCCUGAUGGAGGGGGAUAACUACUGGAAACGGUAGCUAAUACCGCAUAAUGUCGCAAGACCAAAGAGGGGGACCUUCGGGCCUCUUGCCAUCGGAUGUGCCCAGAUGGGAUUAGCUAGUAGGUGGGGUAACGGCUCACCUAGGCGACGAUCCCUAGCUGGUCUGAGAGGAUGACCAGCCACACUGGAACGGAGACACGGUCCAGACUCCUACGGGAGGCAGCAGUGGGGAAUAUUGCACAAUGGGCGCAAGCCUGAUGCAGCUAUGCCGCGUGUAUGAAGAAGGCCUUCGGGUUGUAAAGUACUUUCAGCGGGGAGGAAGGGAGUAAAGUUAAUACCUUUGCUCAUUGACGUUACCCGCAGAAGAAGCACCGGCUAACUCCGUG